GAUGAACGCUGGCGGCGUGCUUAACACAUGCAAGUCGAACGAAGCACCUCUCCCGAAGAUUGACACAGCUUGCUGUAGAUUGAUUCAUUUGAGGUGACUGAGUGGCGGACGGGUGAGUAACGCGUGGGUAACCUGCCUCAUAGAGGGGGACAACAGUUGGAAACGACUGCUAAUACCGCAUAGUAAGAAGAAUUCGCAUGUUUUCUCCUUGAAAGAUUUAUCGCUAUGAGAUGGACCCGCGUCUGAUUAGCUAGUUGGUAAGGUAACGGCUUACCAAGGCGACGAUCAGUAGCCGGCUUGAGAGAGUGAACGGCCACAUUGAGACUGAGACACGGCCCAAACUCCUACGGGAGGCAGCAGUGGGGAAUAUUGCACAAUGGGGGAAACCCUGAUGCAGCGACGCCGCGUGAGUGAAGAAGUAUUUCGGUAUGUAAAGCUCUAUCAGCAGGGAAGAUAAUGACGGUACCUGACUAAGAAGCCCCGGCUAACUACGUG
Molecule: ribosomal RNA, 495 nt
Filed under: uncultured bacterium
Lineage: Bacteria
Description: partial 16S ribosomal RNA
Rfam family: Bacterial small subunit ribosomal RNA
Source: RNAcentral